AACCAAUGGCCUCUUGAACGUGCAUCGCGCUCUUGGGAUAU
RNAcentral lists this ribosomal RNA (41 nucleotides) under Symbiodinium sp. Oga04. RNAcentral's name for it is "partial 5.8S ribosomal RNA". Lineage: Eukaryota; Dinophyceae; Suessiales; Symbiodiniaceae. The record is from RNAcentral.